AUACGUAGGGGGCAAGCGUUAUCCGGAAUCAUUGGGCGUAAAGAGUGCGUAGGUGGUUUCUUAAGCGUGGGGUUUAAGGCUACGGCUUAACCGUAGUUCGCCCCAUGAACUGGGAGACUUGAGUGCAGGAGGGGAAAGUGGAAUUCCUAGUGUAGCGGUGAAAUGCGUAGAUAUUAGGAGGAACACCAGUGGCGAAGGCGACUUUCUGGACUGUAACUGACACUGAGGCACGAAAGCGUGGGGAGCAAACAGGAUUAGAUACCCUGGUAGUCCAUGCCGUAAACGAUGAGCACUAGGUGUCGGGGCGACAAGCCUCGGUGCCGCAGUUAACGCAUUAAGUGCUCCGCCUGGGGAGUACGUUCGCAAGAAUAAAACUCAAAUGAAUUGACGGGG
RNAcentral lists this ribosomal RNA (393 nucleotides) under uncultured bacterium. Its description in RNAcentral is "partial 16S ribosomal RNA". It matches the Rfam family "Bacterial small subunit ribosomal RNA", at positions 523 to 918 of the family's 1533-position model. The record is from RNAcentral.